UACAGAGGUCUCGAGCGUUGUUCGGAAUUACUGGGCGUAAAGGGCGCGUAGGCGGCACAGCAAGUCGGGAGUGAAAGCCCGGGGCUCAACCCCGGAACGGCUUUCGAAACUGCUGAGCUAGAGUACAGAAGGGGCAACCGGAAUUCCCAGUGUAGCGGUGAAAUGCGUAGAUAUUGGGAAGAACACCUGAGGCGAAGGCGGGUUGCUGGGCUGAUACUGACGCUGAGGCGCGAAAGCCAGGGGAGCAAACGGG
RNAcentral lists this ribosomal RNA (253 nucleotides) under uncultured bacterium. RNAcentral describes it as "partial 16S ribosomal RNA". It matches the Rfam family "Bacterial small subunit ribosomal RNA", at positions 524 to 776 of the family's 1533-position model. The record is from RNAcentral.